CUUACAAAGCAGCUGAUUAGGAUAUGCCCAGUACAGCAAGGUCAAUAGGUCAAUGUCACUUUGAUCAGUCUCCGCCUUGAAGAGCAUACACACAAAACAUAAAUUUGAAGACAUUCAUUUUUAAACGAACAUAUCAGUUUCAGGACAAAUUGUAGCAACAUUAAACAGUCACAAUGCAUCGAAUUUCACCACUUGUACGCAGUGCUAUUUCUAAGAAAUUCACACCAGCGUUGGCAAGAUGCUAUGCAAAAGAUUUGAAAUUUGGCUCAGAUGCUCGGGCUUUGAUGCUUCAGGGAGUAGAUCUUCUAGCUGAUGCUGUUGCUGUUACCAUGGGACCAAAAGUAGGAAUCUUACUGCUUAAAAAAGA
Long non-coding RNA from Ruditapes philippinarum (Manila clam), 367 nucleotides. RefSeq lists it as uncharacterized. The transcript is spliced from 3 exons. NCBI's taxonomy places the organism in Eukaryota, Metazoa, Mollusca, Bivalvia, Venerida, Veneridae. The record is from RefSeq and is a predicted model, not a curated record.